CGGGAAGCUUUAUCACAACUG
RNAcentral lists this unclassified non-coding RNA (21 nucleotides) under Chlamydomonas reinhardtii. Its description in RNAcentral is "small RNA Cre_1326". Lineage: Eukaryota; Viridiplantae; Chlorophyta; Chlorophyceae; Chlamydomonadales; Chlamydomonadaceae. The record is from RNAcentral.